ACGAGACCAUCGUGCGACUGAUCGCGAAGAUGCCGACGAUUGCCGCUUACUCGUACAAGCACUCGAUCGGCCAGCCCUUCAUCUAUCCGCGUAACCAGCUGAGCUAUGUCGCCAACUUCCUGCACAUGAUGUUCGCGACCCCGUGCGACGAGUUCGAAGUGGAUCCGGCGGUGUCCCGUGCGCUCGACCUGCUGCUGAUUCUGCACGCCGACCACGAGCAGAACUGCUCGACGAGCACCGUCCGGGUCGUCGGCAGCUCGCGCGCCAACCUCUUCGCGGGCAUCUCGGCCGGCAUCGGCGCGUUGUGGGGACCGCUCCACGGCGGCGCCAACCAGCAGGUGAUCGAAAUGCUCGAGCGGAUCGAGGCCGAGGGCGGCGACGUCCAGAAGUUCGUCGACGCCGCCAAGGACAAGAAGAGCAACAGCCGUCUCAUGGGCUUCGGUCAUCGCGUCUACAAGAACUACGAUCCGCGGGCGGCGAUUCUCAGGCGGACGUGCAUCGAUGUGCUCAGCCGGCUCGGCGUCCAGAGCCGUCAGCUCGACAUCGCGAUGAAGCUCGAAGAGAUUGCGCUCCGCGACGAGUACUUCGUCAGCCACAAGCUCUAUCCGAACGUGGACUUCUACUCGGGCAUCAUCUACAAGGCUCUUUGUAUUCCCGUGAACAUGUUCACGGUCAUGUUCGCGAUCGGCCGGCUGCCCGGCUGGAUCGCCCAGUGGCUCGAGAGCCGCAACGAUCCAGACACCCGGAUUGCUCGUCCGCGCCAGAUCUAUACCGGCGCGAGGCAGCGUCACUACGCUCCGCUCGACCAGAGGUAGCCGUGGGGACACGGUUCGAGGUGCGUCGCGACUCGCGUACCGGCGAGCGAUAUCAGGCGGUGUCCGCGCGCGGCGCCGCGCUGCAGGACGACCCGGUCCUCAACAAGGGAACCUGUUUCACCCGGGAGGAACGCGACGCGCUGGGUCUGACGGGGUUGCUUCCGCCAGCCGUGCAGGCGCCCGCGGAACAACUGGCCCGGGCGUACGGCAACUACCUCGAGUCAGGAGACGACGUCCAGCGCUACCUGUUCCUGGCCGGCCUGCAGGACCGCAACGAGACGCUCUUCUGCCGCCUCGUGCUCGAUCAUCUCCGAGGAGAUGGUCCCUGUCAUCUACACGCCGACGGUGGGCAAGGCGUGCGAGCGUUACAGCCACAUCUACCGGCAAGGGCGAGGCGUCUAUGUGUCGCCACACGAGCGCGGGCGAGUCGCUGAGGUGUUGCAGGGAGCCGCCGACGCCGAGGCGCGCGUGAUUGUCAUCACCGACAACCAGGCGAUCCUCGGCCUGGGCGACCAGGGCGUCGGCGGGAUGCCCAUCGCGAUUGGCAAACUAGCGCUCUACACAGUGGGGGCCGGUAUUCACCCGACCUACUGUCUGCCGAUCGAUUUCGACGUGGGCACCGACAACACCGUGCGGCUCGAGGAUCCGCUCUACCUCGGUAUUCGCCAGCAGCGGCUCCGGGGCGAGCCCUACUUCGCGCUGCUCGACGAGCUCGUCGAGGCCAUCGCGCGCGUAUUUCCGCGAGCCCUGGUGCAGUGGGAGGAUUUCGCGAGCACGAACGCCUUUGCAGUGCUCGCGCCGGGUACCGGCAACGAGUGCUGUCGUUCAACGACGACAUCCAGGGCACAGGGGCCGUGGUCGUGGCGGGCAUCCAGAGCGCACUCCGGCAGACCGGCGGCCGGCUCGAGGAUGCGCGCAUUGUUUUUAUGGCGCCGGCGCAUCGGGCGCAGGAUCGGCGCUCGCCGUUCGGGCCGCGCUGCGCGUGGCCGGAGUCCCCGAAACCGAGCUGUCAUCGCGCGUCCUCUGCCUGGACUCGAUGGGGUUGAUGAUCUCGGACCGGCCGGGACUGACCGGCGCCAAGCUCGAGGUGGCCGCGUCGCCCGAUCUCGUUGCGGGCUGGCGGCGGAGCGCGGGGCGGCCCGUUCGGCCUCGGCGACGUCGUCCGAAACUUCAAGCCAACCGUGCUCGUUGGCGCGUCAGGCCAGUCCGGCGCCUUCAGCGCGGCGAUCGUCCGCGACAUGCUUGCGGGAUGUGCGCGUCCGGUCGUACUCGCGCUCUCGAACCCGGAUACGAAAACAGAAGUGACGCCGGAAGAUCUCAUUCGAUGGACGAACGGCGCCGCGGUGAUGGGCACGGGCAGUCCGUUUGCGCCCGUGGAGCACGAAGGGCGCACGCACACGAUUGGUCAGGCGAAUAACGCGUUCAUCUUUCCGGGACUCGGCCUGGGCGCCAUCGCAGUCGAGGCGCGCUGGCUGCCGGAUGACGCGUUCGUCACGGCGGCACGCGCGCUGGUCGGGUUCACGGCGGCUUCGCCGCGCGAGGGCAGCUCCAUCUACCCGCCGCUCAGCCGGCUGCG
RNAcentral lists this unclassified non-coding RNA (2391 nucleotides) under uncultured fungus. Its description in RNAcentral is "sequence contains 18S rRNA gene, ITS1, 5.8S rRNA gene, ITS2, 28S rRNA gene". The record is from RNAcentral. Lineage: Eukaryota; Fungi.